Molecule: RNase P RNA, 338 nt
Filed under: pig gut metagenome
Description: Bacterial RNase P class A
Rfam family: Bacterial RNase P class A
About the family: Ribonuclease P (RNase P) is a ubiquitous endoribonuclease, found in archaea, bacteria and eukarya as well as chloroplasts and mitochondria. Its best characterised activity is the generation of mature 5'-ends of tRNAs by cleaving the 5'-leader elements of precursor-tRNAs.
Source: RNAcentral
GACAAAUGAUCGCGGCUGCCUGUCCGAAAGGUGGCAGACGAGGAAAGUCCGGGCUUCAUAGGGCAGGAUGCCGGAUAACGUCCGGUGGAGGUGACUCCAAGGCCAGUGCAACAGAAAUAUACCGCCUCUUUUGAGGUAAGGGUGGAAGGGCAGUGUAAGAGACUACCGCUCAUCCGGUAACGGAUGAGGCAUAUGUAAACCCCAUUCGAAGCAAGACCGAAUAGAAGACAAUGCAGCGGCCCGUUGCGUCUUCAGGUGGGUCGCUUGAGCCUUGUGGUAACACAAGGCCUAGAUAGAUGAUCAUUCAACGACAUAACCCGGCUUAUCGUCCCGCUUAU